AAUGAACGCUGGCGGCGUGCUUAACACAUGCAAGUCGAACGAGAACACUUCUUCGGAAGUUAGUAAAGUGGCGAACGGGUGAGUAACACGUAAGAAUUUACCUUUUAGUGGAGGAUACCCUGGAGAAAUUCAGGUUAAUACUGCAUAAGCCCUGCGGGGGAAAGACGGCCUCUUGCUGUCGCUAAAAGAUAAGCUUGCGGACUAUUAGUUUGUUGGUGGGGUAAUGGCCUACCAAGGCGAUGAUGGUUAGCCGGCCUGAGAGGGUGUACGGCCACAUUGGGACUGAGAUACGGCCCAGACUCCUACGGGAGGCAGCAGUGGGGAAUAUUGCACAAUGGGGGAAACCCUGAUGCAGCAACGCCGCGUGGGGGAUGAAGGUUUUCGGAUUGUAAACUCCUGUCGAGAGGGAAGAAAUGCCCGUGAGUAAUAUGCACGGGAGCUGACGGUACCUCUCAAGAAAGCCCCGGCUAACUUCGUGCCAGCAGCCGCGGUAAUACGAAGGGGGCGAGCGUUAUUCGGAAUAACUGGGCGUAAGGAGUGUGUAGGUGGCUAUUUAAGUUAGUUGUUAAAGAUCACGGCUUAACCGUGAGGAUGCGAUUAAUACUGAGUAGCUAGAGGGCAAGAGAGAGAAGUGGAAUUCUUGGAGUAGCGGUAAAAUGCGUAGAUCUCAAGAGGAACACCGAAAGCGAAGGCAGCUUCUUGGCUUGUUUCUGACACUAAAGCACGAAAGCGUGGGGAGCAAACAGGAUUAGAUACCCUGGUAGUCCACGCCGUAAACGAUGAUCACUAGAUGUGGGUUAGGUUUUACCUGAUCCGUGUCGAAGCUAACGCGUUAAGUGAUCCGCCUGGGGAGUACGGUCGCAAGAUUAAAACUCAAAGGAAUUGACGGGGGUCCGCACAAGCGGUGGAACAUGUGGUUUAAUUCGACACUACGCGAGGAACCUUACCUAGGUUUGACAUGUAGCUGCUCGCCAUAGAGAUAUGGUUUUCUAAGUUUACUUAGACGGUUACACGGGUGCUGCAUGGCUGUCGUCAGCUCGUGUCGUGAGAUGUUAGGUUAAGUCCUUUAACGAGCGCAACCCUUGCCGUUAGUUGCAACUCUUAGUGAGGCACUCUAGCGGGACUGCCUGGGGAACCAGGAGGAAGGUGGGGAUGACGUCAAGUCCUCAUGGCCCUUAUACCUAGGGCUACACACGUGUUACAAUGGCAAGUACAACGGGGAGCAAAUCCGCGAGGAAGAGCAAAACCUUCAAAGCUUGUCUAAGUUCGGAUUGAAGUCUGCAACCCGACUUCAUGAAGCUGAAAUCGCUAGUAAUCGCGUAUCAGAACGACGCGGUGAAUACGUUCUCGGACCUUGUACACACCGCCCGUCACACCACGAAAAUCGUCUAUACCCAAAAUCACUUUAGCUAACCGUUUUACGGAGGCGAGUGCUUAAGGUAUGGAGGGUGAUUGGGGUG
Molecule: ribosomal RNA, 1460 nt
Filed under: uncultured bacterium
Lineage: Bacteria
Description: bacterial SSU rRNA
Rfam family: Bacterial small subunit ribosomal RNA
Source: RNAcentral